GGUAUGCCCAAAAACAAGAGUCUUGGUCCUAAACCUCACAUUACCUACCCCCAAAGUUAUACAUGCAAGCCUCAACAGGACAGUGAGUCGCCCACACAAUCCCAAAAGAACAAGUGGAGCCGGCAUCAGACCAUAAAUACCCUAAUCAAUAACGCCACGUCAACACCACGCCUACACAGGUAGCUCAGCAGUAACCAAAAUUAGGCAAUGAGCGAAAGCUCGACCUAGUCACGGGGAGAAAAGCCGGUAAAACUCGUGCCAGCUACCGCGGUUAUACGAGAGGCUUAAGAUAAUGCCAACGGCGAAAAGAUGGCCAGAGAGAAGCCCAAAAAUUAAGGAUAAAAGCUGAACUGGCUGUCUAACGCCAAACUAAGAGAAAACCGCCGCCUUAACACAAGGACAACUUCAGCCACAAAAGCUGAGAAACAAACUAGGAUUAGAUACCCUACUAUGCCCAGCCACACAAGGCACCAAACACACUGCCCGCCCGACUAGUACAGGUGAAAGCCUGAAACUCAAAGGACUUGACGGUGACCCACAUCAACCUAGAGGAGCCUGUCCCAUAAUCGAUAACCCGCGCUUAACCCAACCACCCCUUGCCAAUCAGUCUAUAUACCGCCGUCGUCAGCUCACCCUGCGAGGGUUUUAAAGUGAGCCAAACCGUAAUACACUAAAACGUCAGGUCAAAGCGUAGCACAUGGGGCGGAAUCAGAUGGGCUACAUUUUCUUUAAAGAAUUUACGAAAGUCAUAAUGAAAAACUGCCUGAAGCUGGAUUUAGUAGUAAGAUAAACAAGCAUGCUUGUCUGAACAAACGCACUGGGACGCGUACACACCGCCCGUCACCCCCAUCUCAUACCUCCAAACAAUUCAUAAAAAACAAGCCAAUCAAAGAUGGGGUAAGUCGUAACAUGGUAAGUGUACUGGAAAGUGCACUUGAACAC
RNAcentral lists this non-coding RNA (942 nucleotides) under Trilepida macrolepis (big-scaled blind snake). RNAcentral's name for it is "partial 12S ribosomal RNA". It matches the Rfam family "Bacterial small subunit ribosomal RNA". Lineage: Eukaryota; Metazoa; Chordata; Lepidosauria; Squamata; Leptotyphlopidae. The record is from RNAcentral.